This 651-nucleotide long non-coding RNA is filed under the name Homo sapiens (human). RNAcentral's name for it is "HSALNT0203244". Lineage: Eukaryota; Metazoa; Chordata; Mammalia; Primates; Hominidae. The record is from RNAcentral.
GAGACUGUUUAGACACUACUUUAGAAAAGGCAUUUUUUUUGGUGUUGCUACUAGGAAAUUGUGUGUGUGUGUGUGUGUGUGUGUGUGUGUGUGUGUGUGUGUGUUUUCAGUGUCUCUAGCAGCUGAAAGUAUGCAAGAGCUAAAAUGCAGCUACAGCUGGAGCUAACUCCCAUUCAUUCAUCAUUGUCACUUCACGAAUUAGGAGCCAGCAGACCAUUUCUCUCACUUUACUUCAGCUCCUUUUCAGAACGAGUGCAGAUUCAGAGAAGAAGGUGGAGCAAGAUGGCAGAAUAAUUGUCCCUCCAAUAAGGACAUCAAGUUAACGACUACCUACACAGAAAAACAGCUUCAUAAGAACGAAAAUCAGAACUAAUUCGACUGUUGAUGCCCAUCGGACAAAUACUAUCAGGAACACAGUGACAUGGACCUGUGCAGUGAAGCCAGCAAAUUGUGCUUGAGAUGGAACUUUACCUCCCAAAGCAACUGCAGGUUCAUCAAUUAGCCAAGUUGCCACUCAAAUGGAUAGGUAUGUGAAACAAUGUACAGAGGUUAAAAGAGCUGGAGGAUUUUUGAAUACUCUUCUUAUGGUGGAAUGGAAGUUUCUUAUCUUAUGAAGAAAUGUGACAAGUGAGUAUUCACAUUUCUUUUCAG